GAUCAUUAGUGAAUAUUUAGGGCGUCCAACUUAACUUGGAGCCCGAACUCUCACUUUCUAACCCUGUGCAUCUGUUUCUGGUCAGUAGCUCUCUCGGGAGUGAACGCCAUUCACUUUUCACUCAAAACACAAAGUCUAUGAAUGUAUAAAAUUUAUAACAAAACAAAACUUUCAACAACGGAUCUCUUGGCUCUCGCAUCGAUGAAGAACGCAGCGAAAUGCGAUAAGUAAUGUGAAUUGCAGAAUUCAGUGAAUCAUCGAAUCUUUGAACGCACCUUGCGCUCUCUGGUAUUCCGGAGAGCAUGCCUGUUUGAGUGUCAUGAAAUCUUCAACCCUCUCUUUUCUUAGUGAAUCGAGAGGUGCUUGGAUCCUGAGCGCUGCUGGCUUCGGCCUAGCUCGUUCGUAAUGCAUUAGCAUCCGCAAUCGAACUUCGGAUUGACUUGUGCGUAAUAGACUAUUCGCUGAGGAUUCUGGUCUCGUACCAGAGCCCCCCGGGUUUUGGGUUAAAGGAAGCUUCUAAUCCUAAAAGUCUAACUUUUGAUUAGAUCUCAAAAUCAGUAGGACUACCCGCUGAAAAAACUUAAGCAUAU
This 590-nucleotide ribosomal RNA is filed under the name Rhodotorula sp. SACCR 040619. RNAcentral describes it as "eukaryotic LSU rRNA". The stretch from base 167 to 320 matches the Rfam family "5.8S ribosomal RNA". Lineage: Eukaryota; Fungi; Basidiomycota; Microbotryomycetes; Sporidiobolales; Sporidiobolaceae. The record is from RNAcentral.